RNAcentral lists this long non-coding RNA (1030 nucleotides) under Homo sapiens (human). RNAcentral's name for it is "novel transcript". Lineage: Eukaryota; Metazoa; Chordata; Mammalia; Primates; Hominidae. The record is from RNAcentral.
GGGCGGAACCAGGAAAUAUCUUGUGUGAGGACGUGAAGUAAGAGAGUGAAGUGGCAGGAUAGACAAAAGUAGGGCAUCUAGGGGGAUAUGGGAAUGUUUGUUAGUGAUUGUGAUUUCUGCUAUAAGGGUAACGAUUAGGCAGAAGGCUAAAAUGAGGGAGACUUUUUGGCUAGUAUUCCGAUUGGAAGGAGUUACAUUAUAUAAUUUCACUGUAAACAAUAGGCUUUCUUGGGGAAGAAAACACAUGCACAAAUCCUGGUGUAAGGAAUAUUUUAAGCAUAUAUCUUCAAUAUCAUUCAUCCAGGACCGAGCAAGACCAACACUCUUCCUCCUCCUCUGCCUACUCAAUGUGAAGACAAUGAGGAUGAACACCUUUAUGAUGCUCCACUUCCACUUAUUGAAUAGUGCUACACAUGAAACUUGUAACCAGUUACUACAGGCGAAAGCAAAUCCAUGUCUUCAGGCUGGUGUCAUCAGGGAGAGAAGCUUUGGUUUCCACAUAAGGAUAUAAGAUCAUUGAUGUAAAACAAGACAUGUAACCUCUCAAAUUGAGAGAAUGGAUUGGAGAGAUAUUGUUGACCAUGUUUUCCCCUGUAUCUCACCUUCCCCUCUCCAAGACUUCCUUGUCAGUUACCCAUAUUGAUAUCAGUUUAUCCACAUCCAUGCUUUCAAGUUUAAACAAAGAAACUAGGCAAAGGCAGCUAUGUAUUCGCUAGGAUUAGGGAGGAGAAGAUAAUGAACCACUGGAUAGUGAGAAGAAAGAGAGGUGGAGAAAGUGAGAGACCCCAGUAACAGAGGACAGGGACACAUUGCUAAGGAUAGGGACACAUUCACUGUAAUAUAGAAGGCCAUGCUUAUAUGUAAAAUAUGCAGUAAUUGUAUAUAUAUGUACAAAAGUGAUGACACACAUAUGCACAUAAACAAAACACAAUUACUGUCUAUGUUUCUUUAUUUGUGACCUAAUGUUUUAUGUUGUUUGUAACUGAAAAAAAAAUUCCCUUCUGAAUAAAAUGUCAAUUUUGCGAUUGCA